This 470-nucleotide ribosomal RNA is filed under the name uncultured bacterium. RNAcentral describes it as "bacterial SSU rRNA". It matches the Rfam family "Bacterial small subunit ribosomal RNA", at positions 21 to 518 of the family's 1533-position model. The record is from RNAcentral.
GGCUCAGGAUUAACGCUGGCGGCGUGCCUAAUACAUGCAAGUCGAAUGGUAGCAAUACCAUGGCGAACGGGUGAAGUAACACGUAGGUAACCUGUCUUUAAGCCGAGGAUAACCAUUGGAAACGAUGGAUAAUACUGGAUAGGACAUUUGAAGGCAUCUUUAGAUGUUUAAAGAUUUAUCACUUAGAGAGGGGCCUGCGGCGCAUUAGCUAGUUGGUGAGGUGAAGGCUUACCAAGGCGAUGAUGCGUAGCCGGACUGAGAGGUUGAACGGCCACAAUGGAACUGAGAACGGUCCAUACUCCUACGGGAGGCAGCAGUAGGGAAUUUUCGGCAAUGGGCGGAAGCCUGACCGAGCAACGCCGCGUGAACGAAGAAGUAUUUCGGUAUGUAAAGUUCUUUUAUUAGGGACGAAAAGACAGAUUGACGGUACCUAAUGAAUAAGCUCCGGCUAAUUACGUGCCAGCCGCCGC